GUGAGGAAUAUUGGUCAAUGGGCGAGAGCCUGAACCAGCCAAGUCGCGUGAAGGAAGACGGCCCUACGGGUUGUAAACUUCUUUUGCAAUGGAAUAAAAAGAGUUACGUGUAAUUCAUUGUAUGUACAUUGCGAAUAAGGAUCGGCUAACUCCGUGCCAGCAGCCGCGGUAAUACGGAGGAUCCGAGCGUUAUCCGGAUUUAUUGGGUUUAAAGGGUGCGUAGGCGGAUUGGAAAGUCAGCGGUGAAAGUUUGCAGCUUAACUGUAAAAUUGCCAUUGAAACUGUCAGUCUUGAGUGCAAAUGAGGUAGGCGGAAUGUGUUGUGUAGCGGUGAAAUGCAUAGAUAUAACACAGAACACCAAUUGCGAAGGCAGCUUACUGGGAUGCAACUGACGCUGAGGCACGAAAGCGUGGGGAUCAAACAGGAUUAGAUACCCGAGUAGUCC
This 445-nucleotide ribosomal RNA is filed under the name uncultured bacterium. RNAcentral's name for it is "partial 16S ribosomal RNA". It matches the Rfam family "Bacterial small subunit ribosomal RNA", at positions 354 to 796 of the family's 1533-position model. The record is from RNAcentral.